GUAAUACGUAGGGUGCAAGCGUUAAUCGGAAUUACUGGGCGUAAAGCGUGCGCAGGCGGUCCGCUAAGACAGAUGUGAAAUCCCCGGGCUUAACCUGGGAACUGCAUUUGUGACUGGCGGGCUAGAGUAUGGCAGAGGGGGGUAGAAUUCCACGUGUAGCAGUGAAAUGCGUAGAGAUGUGGAGGAAUACCGAUGGCGAAGGCAGCCCCCUGGGCCAAUACUGACGCUCAUGCACGAAAGCGUGGGGAGCAAACAGGAUUAGAUACCCUGGUAGUCCACGCCCUAAACGAUGUCAACUAGUUGUCGGGUCUUCAUUGACUUGGUAACGUAGCUAACGCGUGAAGUUGACCGCCUGGGGAGUACGGUCGCAAGAUUAAAACUCAAAGGAAUUGACGGGGACCCGCACAAGCGGUGGAUGAUGUGGAUUAAUUCGAUGCAACGCGAAAAACCUUACCUACCCUUGACAUGUA
This 470-nucleotide ribosomal RNA is filed under the name Paraburkholderia sp. RNAcentral's name for it is "bacterial SSU rRNA". It matches the Rfam family "Bacterial small subunit ribosomal RNA", at positions 520 to 990 of the family's 1533-position model. Lineage: Bacteria; Pseudomonadati; Pseudomonadota; Betaproteobacteria; Burkholderiales; Burkholderiaceae. The record is from RNAcentral.